AAAAAUAAUAGUAAGUGCGAUUGUAUAUCUGCCACUGCAGCAUCAUCUUACGUUGGUGGGAUAUUUGCCUACCAAGGAUUCGACGCUUACGGGGAAUUAGGGUUUGACUCCGGAGAAUGAGCAUGAGAAACAGCUCAUACAUCUAAGGAAGGCAGCAGGCGCGGAAAUUGCCCAAUGUAUCUUUUAUACGAGGCAGUGACAAGAAAUGGUAGGCACUUUUGUGCACUAUCGAGGGUUAGUGGUAUCUUUGCUAACCGUGACUCGUGGGCAAGCUCGGUGCCAGCAGCCGCGGUAAUUCCGACACAGGGAGUUUUCCAUUUGGUUGCUGCAGUUAAAAAGUUCGUAGUUCACUGACUCUUUCACUAUAAGCAAAGCCGAAUGCUCCAAGUUUUUUAGCAGUAUUUAUAGUAUGAAAUUAUAGCGCGGCAUUGAACGUAGUUUGGGGUACUCGAUAGGGACAGGUGAAAUAGGAUGAUCUAUCGAAGACCCACGGUAGCGGAGGCUCCCAACGAAGUCCAAGUGUCACGAUCAAGAACUAAAGUCAGGGGAUAGACGACGAUUAGACACCGUUUUAUUCCUGACCCUAAACGAUGUCGCCUAGCUGAUGGGAUUUUUUUCAUUUGCCAAGGAGAAAUCGUAAGGUUUCAGACUCUGGGGGAAGUAUGAUCGCAAGGUUGAAACUUGAAGGGAUUGACGGAGAGGUACCACCAGACGUGGAGUCUGCGGCUCAAUUCGACUCAACACGCAAACAUUACUAGGCCCAGAAGCU
Molecule: ribosomal RNA, 769 nt
Filed under: Spironucleus barkhanus
Lineage: Eukaryota; Fornicata; Diplomonadida; Hexamitidae
Description: SSU rRNA
Rfam family: Eukaryotic small subunit ribosomal RNA
Source: RNAcentral